Non-coding RNA from Osmia lignaria (orchard mason bee), 6415 nucleotides. The record is from RefSeq and is a predicted model, not a curated record. NCBI's taxonomy places the organism in Eukaryota, Metazoa, Arthropoda, Insecta, Hymenoptera, Megachilidae.
UUUUACAAUUGGGAUCAUCGCGAAAAUAUCUCCGAUUGGAUGUGAAAGGUUUCAUAGCGACCGGUACAUGUAGGGUGGCGCUAAAGAAUAGGAGUUACAAUAGUUAUUAUAUAUGUAACAAAUCGCCUAUCUAUUUGGCAGCACGUCCAGAAGGUGAAACAACACUUCUGGACGAGAUGGCACCGAGAAUAUCUGAACGAGCUGACAACCAGAAGCAAGUGGUCUAGCGGUGCACAUGCAUGCAGUCAAGGAGGGCACAAUUGUCUUGGUCAGAGAAGACAACGUGCCCUCAAUACAAUGGCCCUUGGGUAGAGUGAUCAAGGUUCACCCAGGCUUCGACGGCGUUAUCCGGGCGGUUACAGUCAAAACCGUGCUGGAUCGCAGCAUUAAACGAUUGGUACCCUUGCCAAACCAGGAGGGCAAGGACGAUCUCGGAGAAGUGAAGGCAAGGGAGACCGACAUUGACACCCAGUGUCGAUCCUGAACGGUCUCAUUCAAGGUACCAAGCACAAGCUUCCAGUCUCAUAGGUAGCUUGCCCGCUUCGAAGGAAUCUGCUGUUUCAUGGGCUAGGGAGAAGGGACUCCGACGUACUACAAGAAGUUGUAGUACUUAUUGUCGGCUCAUGAAUCUUUACGCAGGCGGGGAACACGGUCUUGGCUGUUUCCGAUGCCCUGCUGGCCGCGGUAACUGCAAACAGUACGCGGCCACAGUCGAUUCCUUCUUUCAGGAUGUCCGUCUGCCGUUACAUAAGGCAAUAAAGCUUAUGUACUGCUUUACUUCUGACUUCUCCUGGGAGAUUACCGCAACGGAGUUAUCCGACGUAGGAGAAGAUCAGGAAGUAUUGUCUACGGACACCAUUGCAGCGUGGUUCCGCUAUUGUCGGGAGAUGAUAGUGGACCACGUUUGCAAAAUGCAGGCGGGCAAGCCGAAAUUAGGCGGGAUCGAUGAAGGAGGAUCUGCAAUCGUUGUACAGCUCCUGAUGGAACACAUACGCAACAAAUCGAAGCGAACUGGCGACCGGUAAAGGAUUGCAUGCGUGGAAGAGGCCGCUUCCACGACGAAGACUUUGCCGAUCGCCUGUGUGAGUUUUUGUGGAGGAAAUUCUGCAAAACUCACAACAUUCAUCUUAUGGAUUCCUUGAUCGCAGCAAUCAAGGAGCAGUACAUUUUCGAAUAAGGUAACUUGAAAUUAGUCACUUAAACGAACCAAUCAGAUGAUGGGUAGAAACAAUAUGGCGUCAUUCUAACCUCUCAAACGUCACUAAAUACGUACAUUUUUAAACACUUGUAUUUCUUAAACUAUUGGUUUCCUGGACUUUUAACUUGUAUUUUCUAAAAUUUCAGGUCAAAAACUACAAAAAAAAAGGACCCCUUAAUUUUUGGUCCCCCAAGACGAAGUUUUACUCAAUGUAGUAGUAACAUUAGUUUUUCACGAAUAUCUCAGAAACUAAAGCUUUCAGUUGAUUAUUGUUGGCGAAAUUCCCCAGGACCACGCCGAUCAAUGAAGUUGGCUGCGAAAAUACUUCGCUAGUGCGUUGCUACUGACAGCGGCAGCACCUCUCGGGCCUUCUUUGUCCACGCGGUCCUCUCUCUACGCGCUAGCCGGCACGAUCGACGCCAUCAUCGAUCGUGUUCUUGUUCGAUCGCUUGACACGCAAACACGUGUUGUUCGCUGUCCACGCUUUUCGUACAAGUACGCAGUUUCUGAACACGCGACGCUGUACUUCAGCCGUUGUAGUGACCAGCCGUUAAUUAAUGAUUAAGAUUUCUCUGUAAAUAUUCUAGUGUUUUAUUGUAUAUCUGUGUGACUUUUGUAUAUACUUUCUUUAGAAUUUAAUUAAACAAAUUGUGAUUGUUACAAGAGUCGUGUCUCCUUCUUCCGACCUCGCAGACUUCGUGAACUCGAUAACAAUUAUACAUAAUAAAAACGUUCUUCAGCAUCAUGCCCCCGACAACAUAUUAAAUGGUCAUUGAAAUCAACCUAUGUUGAGAUUAGAAACUUCCCGUUUUUUUGCAAUAAAAAUCGUUCGAAAUGAAAAAAUGCAAAAUGUUUUUUUAACGGGACCAAUGGGAAGAGAUACUCUACAAGAUCCAAAAGGAUUCGUUCCGAUUGGUCCAUCCAUCUCAGAGUAAUCUGCGAACAAAGCCAGAAAAAAAAAAAUAUACUGAUCGAAUUUAGUAUCCUCCUCCUUUUCGAAGUCGGAUAAAAACUGUAACAAACGAGCCUGAAGAACAAUCCUGUCUACCAAGUGGCCUGAGUAUCGUGGACGUGCAGCACAUCUUUGCUGAAUUGACUAUGCUAAAGAUAGGGAAGACUGUGGAAUUAGACACCUAAAAAUAACCGGCAUGAAACGGUCGGGCCUGAGGACCACCCUUAGUGUAAUAUGUGAUAUGUGCAAAUAUAAAGGUGAAAUCCACAGUGAACCUGACGAAAGCAAUAAAAUGGAAACAAACCACUGUGCCGUUGCUAGAACAAUUGUGAAUGGAGGCAGUUAUGCCCAAAUGGAGGAGUUCCUUGCACCGAUGAACAUACCUUCCAUGUCGAAGAAAGAAUUUAGAAAGCAUCACGAUAAAAUCGUGAAAGCACUAAUUGUUGCUGCAGAAGAAGAGAUGGUAGCAGCGGCAGAGGAAGAAAAACGCAUGGCCAUUGAAAGAGGCGAUAUUGUUCCCGGAUUUGGAAUUCCUCACAUCCCCGUUGUGGCCGAUGGAAGCUGGAUGAAACGAUCAUACCGGACUGGAACGUACGAUUCCGCGUCUGGAGUCGGCGUUAUAAUUGGAUACCAUACGAAGAAAGUUUUAUUUAUCGGUGUGAGUAACAAGGUGUGCAGGCUUUGUCGAUGUGCUACGAAAAAGAAAGAAUAGCCACGAAAGCGCACCUGUUUCAAAAAUUGGAGCGCAAAGCCAAGCAUCAACGGCUAUGGAAAGUGACGCUAUAGUCGAAGGGUUCAAGACCAAUGUAGAAAAACGUGGGCUUAUUUAUUCAACACUGAUUGCUGAUGGGGACAGCAGGGUUUAUAAAGAAAUUAUAGAUGCGAGGAUCCGUAUAAAACGCAGAUUCGUGUAAAAAAAAUUGAAUGCACGAAUCAUUUGUUGCGAAACUUUUGCAGAAAAAUGAAAGAAGUUGUAAAGAUGACAACACCUGGUCCAUUGAGAAGGAUCGUUGAAAGCAGCAUUCGGCGAAUGCGUGCGGACAUAGUAAAAGCCGCAGAGUUCAGAUACAGUCAGCAAGUAACAACCGCUGAGAAAAUUAAGAAUUUGUAUGCCGACAUACACAAUGUUCAUUGCCACGUUUUUGGUGAACACGCAGAUUGUUCAAAACUGCCAUACUUCUGCAAUGAAACGAGCAAAAAAGAUGAAAAGAACAUUGUUCCCGAAUUGAUGAAGAUGGGAGUGUACGAACACAUCAAAGAAAUACUUCGACCUUUGUUGGCGCAUGUUAAAAGUUUGCUUUAUAACAGUAACAGUAAUGCCGUCGAAAGUUUCAACGGAAUCAUCGCCAAAUAUACAGGAGGAAAAAGAUUGAAUUUCGGCGAGAGAGGAUCUUACACGGGAAGAUGUGCUGCUGUCCUACAGUAUAACACAAAACAAGUGUUGUCGCGUUUGAAUACGGCGAUGAACAAGAAAUCGCCCGUUAUUUUACUCAAAAUGGAAAAUAGAAGGAAGAAAGAAAAUGAGAAGUACGCUGAAAAGAUAAAGGAAAAAAAGAUUACGAAGCACGUGCGGAAACAAUUCCGUUCGGAAAAGGGAUUCGAAUUACGGACCGAACACUCAAAAGCCAGAUAUGGCCAAGAACAUUUAUGAAUUAGAGCAGAAAAAACAUAUGGAAAUGUUGCAGCAUUUGCAAAAUAGAAGAGAUGCCAUUGAGAAAGAAAUCAUCGGUCAAGCGAAAAAUCCGAGAUAGUUGAAUUAUAAAUCAAAACUAUUGAUGGCCUCUAAUUUUGGACGAAUAUGCCGUCGUCGGAUUGGCACGUUCUGUGCAAAUUUAGUGAAGUCAUUUGUGUAUCGACGAUUGAUUAGUGCACCUGCAGUACAAUACGGACAAGAAUGCGAAAAAUUCGCCCGUGAAGAACUAAGUGCGUGCAUUGGUGUUAAAAUCAAGAAUGUGGCUUAUUCGUUGAUACUGCCAUCCCGUUCUUAGGAGCUUCACCAGAUGGACUUAUAGACGAAGAGGGCAUUGCGGAAAUCAAAUGUCCGAAGGAGGAGGCAAUCAAGAGUGUUGCGGUUAUUUGCCGUAAGGAGGAAACAUAUUAAACAGCAACCAUUAUUAUUACUACCAGGUACAAGGACAAUACAUAUCACAGGUAGAAAAUAUUGCUUAUUUUGUAUCUGGACUCGAAACAGGUUAAAGUACAUUAGAGUUGAUAGAGAUGAUAACUUUUGGCAAAACAAUAUGGAGCUAAGUUAAUUCAAUUUUAUUUAUUCUGCAUGUUACCGAAAUUAAUAGAUAAUCGUUACAAUAGGGGUAUGCCCAUUCGGGAGCUUCAAUUUACAACAGAGGAGAGAGCAAGCUUAGAACAGCAGUUUUCGAGCCAAUAUGGACCAAUAUUUUAGCACUUUGGACUUAGCUUCCGAGUUUUAUCAAAUUCCCAUAGAUCCAGCAUCUAAAUCGAAAACAGCUUUUUUGACUCCGCACGGUCAUUAUGAAUUUAACAGAAUGCCGUUCGGGUUGAAAAAUGCUCCUGCCACUUUUCAGAGUCAUGGACCUUGUAUUAUCUGGAUUGCAAGAUACCGAGCUAGUCAUGUAUAUGGAUGAUAUUGUUAUUUAUGCAAACUCCCUCGAAGACCACUCACGAAAAUUGAAAACUCUCCUGGCACGAUUGAAAACGAGCGGGCUAACUCUUCAACCCGGAAAAUGUCAAUUCAUACGAAAAGAAAUAGUAUACCUAGGGCACAUAAUUUCUAGUAAAGCAGUAAAACCUGACCCCUGGGCAAAUUCGUAUCCCCACAACUAGAAAAAAUGUUAAGCUGCGACGACAGCCGCGGAUCGGCGUCGCGCGUCGCGGGCCCCCACCGCGGCGGCCUCCCCACUCCCGCGAGCGAGGCUAUAAGUACCGGUAGGCUCGACGUCGCGGUUUGUCCAGGCGAAGAGCUCACCGGCCGUCGGACCGUGACGUACCUCACGGGCUGGCAGCUCCCAACCGGUCCAGCAGCCGUAGGCGCUUAGCUUCGUCAGCCCCGAGGUUUGUCCCAGGAUGACCAAACUAGUGCGCGUCCGUAACAUCCGCCGGUUUGACCGCGGGGUUCCGAACGCUAGCUUACCCGGCACCGCAUCCGGCCUAUGGCAAUUCCGUCCCGUCCCGAGGCUAGACCCAGGGCGAGCCGGGAUUGGUCGUCGACUCGUUCACUGCUAGGUUUGACCACGGUGUACGAGAAGACAGCCGCGUCAGGCAAGCGGGCAGCAACUCUACCGCAGCGCGAAACACCGCAGCGCGAGAAUCGAAUAAAGACCGACGGUGCGCCGUGCGCCGUAACACCGCGUCUCUCUCGUUCGCGUUCGCGCGCCACUCAGCGUUUUCACUCCGCGCUCCGACGCUGCGCUGUUAGCCUGUAAGACCCCGUAGCAACGGCUACGAACCGCGUUAGACUAAGACCGUGCGACUUCUGUAACGGACCGGGUUCCGCCAGUAGUUUGUAAGCCAAUGUACACCUAGGCUUAAGUGCGACACGGCUCCAUCGCCAGCUCAUCGAUAGCUUCUUCUGUUGUAGCGAGCCCGGCAGGAUAUACCGCCACCGUCCUCGGCGCUUCCAGGGACCGCAGCCGGCGGCCCAGUACCAACCUCAUAGCUCUACUUCAUUUUCUUGAAUAAAUAUUUCUAUUUUUGAUACUAACACCGCCUCUUAUUUCUCGAACCUGUUCCCCAGCGAACCCUGGCACGGGGAAACCGACCGCGGUGCGCAGCGCCGUGCGCACCGACCAGACCGCCCCGUUACAAAGCAAUUCUUAGGCCUCGUAGGUUAUUACCAGAGAUUUACCCCAAAUGGCUAGGAUUGCAAAGCCAUUGACCAAACUUCUGAAAAAGGAUGCACCUUUCCUCUGGUCUUCUGAUGUUCAAGCCUCUUUUGAAACACUAAGAGAUAUCAUUUGCGUAGAGCCUUUAUUACAAUUUCCAAAUUUUUCUCAGCCAUUUCUCGUUACAACCGACGCCUCUGAUUUCGCUAUAGGCGCCAUUUUAAGUCAAGGACCCAUUAGGAAAGACCUUCCUAUUGCAUUUGCCUCGAGAACCUUGGGUAAACCUAAGGUUAAUUAUUCCGUUCAUGUCCAGUUUGCCAGGCGAAAUAAAAAUUAUUCUGUGAAAAACAGGCAACCCAUGUUAAUAACCGAUACCCCUAAAACAGCAUCCGAAAAAGUACAGAUGGACAUUGUUGGUCCCCUACUCAAAACAAAAAAGGGAAAUCAAUACUUGCUUACCUUACA